This 462-nucleotide ribosomal RNA is filed under the name Staphylococcus sp. RNAcentral describes it as "bacterial SSU rRNA". It matches the Rfam family "Bacterial small subunit ribosomal RNA", at positions 64 to 508 of the family's 1533-position model. Lineage: Bacteria; Bacillati; Bacillota; Bacilli; Caryophanales; Staphylococcaceae. The record is from RNAcentral.
GAGCGAACAGAUAAGGAGCUUGCUCCUUUGACGUUAGCGGCGGACGGGUGAGUAACACGUGGAUAACCUACCUAUAAGACUGGGAUAACUUCGGGAAACCGGAGCUAAUACCGGAUAACAUAUUGAACCGCAUGGUUCAAUAGUGAAAGGCGGCUUUGCUGUCACUUAUAGAUGGAUCCGCGCCGUAUUAGCUAGUUGGUAAGGUAACGGCUUACCAAGGCAACGAUACGUAGCCGACCUGAGAGGGUGAUCGGCCACACUGGAACUGAGACACGGUCCAGACUCCUACGGGAGGCAGCAGUAGGGAAUCUUCCGCAAUGGGCGAAAGCCUGACGGAGCAACGCCGCGUGAGUGAUGAAGGUCUUCGGAUCGUAAAACUCUGUUAUCAGGGAAGAACAAAUGUGUAAGUAACUGUGCACAUCUUGACGGUACCUGAUCAGAAAGCCACGGCUAACUACGUGC